GUUGUCUCUUCCUGCAGACUACCGGAGAGAUAAGCUGUGUCUUCGCUAUCGCAGACUACCAGUAAAAUACGCUGUGUUGUCUCUACCUGCAGACUACCAGUAAGAUGCGCUGUCGUCUCUACCUGCAGACUACCGAACUUGACUGCGGCUUGCACUGCUCAGUGCUGAUCAAACAAGGAAGUUGGUGACAUUCAAAAGAACUGCUGCUGCAGGGGUAAUUAGAGAGGACCACUUGGAGCAUGACCAUAAGUCAGGAUUAACACACUUAAACUGCUGAAAAACCUGGCUAACUCAAGAUUAUGAAUCAUGAAUGAAAUCAAUAAACUAAGUAGAAGAUGUUUAAAAAAAAAAAAA
Molecule: long non-coding RNA, 354 nt
Organism: Sebastes umbrosus (honeycomb rockfish)
Lineage: Eukaryota; Metazoa; Chordata; Actinopteri; Perciformes; Sebastidae
Exons: 2
Source: RefSeq, a predicted model, not a curated record